AGUAAAGUUAUGUUGAUAACUUAAGAGGCUUUCCUCUGUAACUUUCGAAAGUGGAAUUCAAUCCUACUAUCUGAAGGAAACUAUAUAUAUUUAAUAUUUAAAAGAAGUUCAUUUAAAAAUCAGAGUAAUAUUUGCAGUUUAUAAGGUUAGGGCUGUUGGCAUGUUUAGCAUAUAUAUUUUUUUAAAACAGAUAUUAAAAUAUUUGGGGAAAAUAACAAAAUUUCUAAACAUGUUGGACUCUUGGGGCGCCUGGCUGGCUCAGUCAGUAGAGCAUGCAACUCUUGAUCUUGGGGUUGUGAGCUCAAGCCCCACGUUGGGUAUAGAGAUUACUUAAAAAUAAAAUCUUUAAAUAAAUAAGUAUGUCAAACUCUUGACACAAUGAUGUUUCUCAAACUGCACUGAUUGUAAAGAAAAGGAAGUCAGAGGCUGGGUAAAUUGAUGUGUCUUUAUUGAGAGAAAGUUUAUUCAUCUGAUCCAAAUUUAAACCAUUCGAAAAAUUUUUACAUUUCCAUUACUAUAAAAAUAACAACAAUAAUAAUAAUAGUAAUAAUAAUAAUAAAUAUAUAGCAAUAGUUACAGCAUAGAGAAUUUUAAUUUGUGGGGUGAAUAUUGACUUGAAUAUUACAGGUUUAGGCAUAAAUCUGAUGUACUGCAGUAGACAGAAUCAUGGCCCCACAAAGAUGCCCACGCCCUGAUCCCUGGAUGUGAAUAUUAGGUUAACGUGAAGAUGGAGAAAGGGGCAUGAGUCAGGGAAUGCUUGCAGCCUCUCAAAACUGAAAAAGGCAAGCAAAUGGGAUUCUUUUAGAACCUCUGGGGAGGAACACAGACCUGCAAACCUCAAUUUUAGCUUAGAGACGCAUUGAUUUUGGAGUCCUUUGUUACAGGCAACAAUAGAAAAUGAAUACAUGUACUAUACAAAAUAGGGAAGUCAAUGAAAUUAUUUGAGAUUAAGUUAUUUUACUCAAUUGACAAGGCAUUUUUAUUAUAUGAGUUUUUAAAAAUGUUAAUUGGAUCCAACAAGGCGGAUUUUUGUUUUUACUGGAUAAAGAAAAUAUUCAUUCUCUUGCUUGAUUGUGUUAUAUAAGUGGUUAUCUGUUUGAUUUGGCAUUUUGAAAAUCUAUCUUUAAUUUUAGCACUACUACUAAAAGAGGAAUUUCUGUAUGUAGGUUGGUUAUAUAGGACUAGAAAAGACAUUGUCUAAGUCAGAGUUUCACUGAUUUGGGUUUUUUAUAAAUUUCAAUAUAUAUAUGUGUGUAUAUAUAUGUCUAUAUAUGUAUAUAUAUGUGUAUAUAUGUGUAUAUAUGUGUGUGUGUGUAUAUAUAUAUAUAUGUGUGUGUGUGUGUGUGUGUGUGUAUGUAUAUAUUUAACGAUGGCCAAUAUUUUUAAUGUGACCUGUAGGAUUGUAGCAUCCCAAAAUAUCUUCAACAUCAUUAAUGAAAAAUUGAAUUUUCUUAAAUAUAUAUAGUUUUAGUGUUAACUGUCUUUUAGGACUUCGAAAUAUGUACUUAGAAAUCUGCUCGGAUAUAUAGGGUACAUAGGAUGAACUGUCUUAUUUCUAGAAAACUUUUUAACCCGGUUCUUCCAUUACCUGCUCUGUUAUGUAACUUAACAGUUUAUUUCUUCAUAAACAAGUACAUCGAUCUCUGGAGGUAGGGUUAUAUGAGCCAGUAUUUCCACAUGAAUUAUUAUGAAAAAAUUUUAAUUCUCAAAUAAAUUAAUAAGCAAGUAAAUAAUGAGUGAAACGCUUUUAAUAUACACUUCCGUUUGCAUGACUGCACAACUAAGUAGAGGAAGAAUGUUAAAAACAAAUUUAGCAUGAUUGUCAUGCAACUAGUUUCCUGGAGCAUAUUAGGAUGUAUUAAUUUGGCCAAAAAGAAAGUAAGAAUCAGGAAGAAAUUUAGUUAUAUUCAAUAUGUGAGUAUACAGUUUUGUAUACUCUAAUGCCAGAAUAUAGCAAGAAAGUUGAAAGGAGAAUGGGAAGAGCACGCUGUCUUUAUUUCAUGUUUUAAUUUUACAGAUUAGCUAAAACAUACUUUGAUGGCUUCCCAAUGCAUUUCUUUCUCUGUAGGUAUUUAUUUUGAGGUGUAUCACAGUGGUUCUAGGACUCAUUUGUUUCUAUAAAAGGAUAGAAUAUAGAUCUCAUCUGUAAGAGUCUGGGUAGCAUAAAUCCUUCUAUGUUAAUAUCUUAAGUUGAAACUCAUAUCUUUAAAUUAUAUUUGCUGCUUCAAAGGUAGACCUUCCAAAGCUGAUCUAGUUAUUUUUUCUUUUCUAAUAUAAUCCAAUGACAGCUCAUUGUUCUAUCGGUUUAAGGAAACCUGAAAUGGCUCUUGUUGCCUGCAUAAUAUACAAAAAACUACCCAUAAAAGCCAGAUUUCUUUCUGUCUGAAUUAUUAGUCCUGUGUUUGUGGGGCACCUGGGUGGCUCAGUCGGUUUAAGCGUCCGAAUUCGGCUCAGGUCAUGAUCUCAUGGCUCUUGAGUCCAAGUCCCGCAUCGGGCUCUGUGCUGACAGCUCAGAGCCUGGAGCCUGCUUCGGAUUCUGUGUCUCCAUCUGUCUCUGCCCCUCCCCUGCUCAUGCUCUGUCUCUCUCUGUCUCAAAAAUAAAUAAAAACAUUAAAAAAAAAGUUUAAAUUAUAUUUGCUGCUUCAAAGGUAGGCCUUCCAAAGCUGAUCUAGUUAUUUUUCUUUUCUAAUAUAAUUCAAUGACAGCUCAUUGCUCUAGCAGUUUAAGGAAACCUGAAAUGGCUCUUGCUGCCUUCAUAAUAUACAAAAAUCUACCCAUAAAAGGCAGAUUUCUUUCUGUCUGAAUUUUUAGUCAUGUGUUUGUGGUUUGCACACGUUUUUCAUUUCCUCAGCUAAGUUAAUAUCCAAGGAGUUUCAGGCAUAAAGGGAAGAACAAGUAAAAGCUUUGGGUUGGGGCACCUGGGAGGCUUAGUCAGUUAAGCAUCUGACUCUUGAUUUCAGCUCAGGUCAUGAUCUCAUGGUCAUGAGCUGGAGCCCCUCGUCAGAGUCAGGCUCAUGCUGGGUGUGGAGCCUGCUUGAGAUUCUCUCUCUCUCUCUCUCUCUCUCUCUCUCUCUCUCACUCUCACUCUCACUCUCUCCCUCCAUCUGCCCCUCCCAUAUUCAUGUGAGCACACUCUCUCUCUUUCAAAAAAAAAAUAAUAAAAGCUUUGGUUUGAACUUUCCUAAUAAGUCACAUUAAUCAUAUAAAACUCAUUGCUUCUCAUUUUGAUCCAGAAAUAAUAAUGACAGUUAGUCAUAGUGGGUGAUAACAAUUAUCGAAAUGAAUUAUAUUUUGGAUUUUCAUUUGCCAGCCACUGCACUAAUCCUGUGCAUGGAUUCUCUCCACUGAAGCAUAGGUACUGUCAUUACCCCCAUUUAUAGGCAAGGCUUAGACAACAGGCACACACAGAGCUUGCUUGAGUCACACAGCCAGUACAUGGAGAAACUAGUGUUCAAACCCGGGGACUGACUCCAGCUCCUGCCCUCUUGACCACUGUGAACCACAGCAUUGGUUGAGGUAGAGAACAGAAAUUUUUAGUCACGUGGACAAUUUGGGUAGAUGAAGGCUUAUAUUUAGGAAGGAGUGGUCAGGUGGAGAAGAUAGGAGCAAACCUUUUUUUUCAUACUAUGGACUGGUUGCUAUUUAUUACGCACCUACUAUGUGCCAGGAAUUGAAUGCAGAGCUAAUUUUCAUAGGCUAAUUUCUGUCAGGUAGUAUAUGCUUUAUAUGUUUCAGGAAAUGUCACACCACAGUACCGUAAUGGACAAAGGUGCUUUCCUAUAGGUAGAAAAAUGUAGUUCUCUACAGUCCUGCCAGUUGGAUCUUGACAGGAUUUCAGAGGUAGGGGAACAAGGUCUGUGGCCCCCCACUACCUUUCCUCAUUUACAUGGUCAGAGAUUUCUGUCAUUGGAUAGAUUUCCAUCCAUGAGCAGGAUGCUCAACAAAGCUGGCUCAUAAGUCCCGUAGGGCUUUUAGCUUAACUACAGAAAUUUAAAAAAAAAUUUAAUGUUUAUUUUUGAGAGAGAGAGACAGAGAGACAGAGUGUGAGUGGGGGAGGGGAAGGGGGAGGGACAGAGAGAGGGAGACACAGAAUCACAGGCAAGUCUCCAGGCUCUGAGCUGUCAGCAUAGAGCCCAACGACAUGGGGCUGAACCUUACAGGCUGUGAGAUCAUGACCUGAGCUGAACUCCAGUGCUCAGGUGCUCAACCGACUGAGCCACCCAGGCACCCCAGGGCUUUUAGCAUAGAUGUCCAUCCUGUUCAUAAGUCAUACUCUUUCAUAGACUUUAGUAAGGUGAAGUUAGGAAGUAUGGUUUUCCUUUCUCCCUCUACGAUGUCAUCUCUGAAGCCAGAGUGCAUGACUUUUCAGUAAGCUUUAGCCUUGGUAGAAAUGAUUACACUGCUCUCGUGACAAGGCUUCACACUCACAUCUUAACAGUCCUCUGGCUCUAUUUUUCCCAUGAGAAUCUGAGGUGCAGACCUAAAUUCUUUAUAGGAUUCUAGGUGUUCUCCUACACACAGCUUUAAUAUGAACAUUUUAGUAAUGGCUUCUUAAUUCAUAAUAUAUAUUGCAUUCUCUAAAACUGACAUCCCCCAAUAUUAUAGUGUAUAGUCAUCAGAAUAUAUGAUCUUUACCUUCAAAUACCACUACUAUGCAUACUCUAGCUUACUCUAACUCCCCUUGAUGAACAGGUCUAAAUCAGAAUUUUCCUUAAUUUAUUGUAUCUCCUAUAUAGUUUCCUUUUCUAUUCUUGUGUCCAUUAAGGAUAAUUCCCCUUUCUUGCCUCCCAAGGGCAUUCUCUGCUGCCCUAAUCUGUCAAUUUCUGGGGAAAAUAACAGUUUAUAGCCGUAAAUGAAAUCUUGGAGAGCGAGUAGCUGUUCUUUAUAGCAGUCAUGCAGUUUAUUUGCAUAAACUGUAUAUACUUGUCUCAUUAUAUAUGUACAGUCUAAAGGAGAGAAUUAAUGCUUCUAUCUUUAGAGGCAUCACGGUCCCCGUUUAAAUGAUGUAGGUGAAAUAUUUCUUCCUUAAGAAAGAGCAGAGAGGAGUGGCAGCUAUGGGAUAUCCAAAUAUUCAGCCUAACAAGAAAGUCAAAGCUAACAAAGGCGUAGUAUAACAAGACAAAGAAGAAAUUAACAUAAAGCAUUUUAUCUUUGAAGGUUGCACAAAACUCCUCCCCAAACCAAAUAAAUCCAUAACAAAGAUGUAACUAACACUGGAAGAUAAAUACAGUUCUCUCCGAAAGGCCUCCUACAGCUGUCUUCAUCUCUUUCUUCCACCUUAAUCAAGAUGAGAGAUGGCAUCCUUUCAGUGCCAGAUUUUUUAAGUGGAGAAGUCUUGGGGCACACUUUGAGUCUCUUUCCAAAAGUAGAGCUUGCACUUUGGUUUUAAUAUGAAGAAAUUAAUGAAAUAGAGCCGGAGAGAAUGUGCUGGAGAGUCGAUUUUUCCAAGCAACAGUCUGGGACUUUAUCUGUGUUGCAAAUAAAUAUUUAAAACUCACUGGGCCAGCUCUGCUGGUGAGGAGGUAAGAAAGAAAUUGCUUUAUGAAAGAAUGUAAGCACCUUGGGAAUCCCUAUACCUCCUACACGUGGGGGCAGCUUCAGACUAGUGGGCACACCUUGGCUCAUGAGAAAACUGACAGUGGACAGCCUGACCUGCAGCAGCCUCAUGUUGGCAAACUGUAACCAGACAACUUCUAGUGUAUUUACCACUGCCCUGGGUUACUGAGAUAAUUCAGGUGGAGUUGACAUUGUCUGAGAAAGACAUUGACUAGUUCAAGACUUAAAAAGGUAUUAUCUUUCCUGCCAUUCAUCUAUACAUUGCUGAGGCCAGAGUUACUCUUACCAUGGAGUGGAAUUUCGGCUUGGAAUCUUAUAGAUUACUCAGCUCCAUUGUAUUAUAGUAGCACCAUCCGCCUUACUGUACAGUUCAACCUUUAGGGUCAGGGAUGCAAUUAAUAAAAUUCUACCAUAUAGCACAGAGAGGUCACUGUAGGGCCAUUAGGGAGGAAAAAGAAAUAUUUGUACUUCGAUCUGUAAAGAUUAAAUUUUUAAGAUAGUCAUGGAAACUAGCAAAAGUACGGAAGUAAUGAUCAAAUAAAUUGUGAAAUAAAUAGAAUAUCUUCCUCUGUAUGGAUUAAAAAGUAAAAUGAUACAGUAAGAUUCAGUACAACCAUAUAGAAAAAAAAUCACAGUUAAUUUCUCCUUUAAAAAAUAUAUGUGAAAAAAGAUAAAGUAGUAAAUUUUUUUUCCAAAACCAAAUAAUAUACAUUCAGCUUAAAAAAAAAAAAACUAGAAGGAUACAAUGAUAAAUUCAACUCUAGUGGGAGUUAAAAUCAUGGAGUUAAAAUCUCAGGCAGGAGUAUACAGGACUUCCCAGGGCCAACUCAAUAACAGAUAACCCACAGGAAUAUUGAUUAAUGUUGAUUAAUGGUCUUAUUCUUCCAGUUUGAGAGCUUAGAGGAACGUAGAGUUUGGGUCAGAGGUGAGGCUCUGUCUGAGUUCUGGACCCAAGCAGAGAUACUACCAAAAUAAGGCUUCCCUGGGUUUAUUGAGUGUGUUGCAUGCUCAUUCUUCUGGAAAACCUUCCAGUGUCCUCAAAACAAGUAUCAUCUGAAGCUCCUCUCACACCCAGACACAUCUGUUUUGGUCAUGAAUUCUACUUUACUUAAAAUCAAACACAAGCAAACCUUGUCAAGUACAACGAAUUUUUGUAACAAAUUGUUCUAUCAAUCAUGCCUGGAAUAUUGACAUUUGUAUUUUAGAGUGUGCUGCAGCCUUUGUUUCUGUAUAGCCCUUUACACCCCUGUGUCUUUGAACCUACCUCUGACUAUGAAAUUAUUUUAAGUGUAUUUUAUAGUUGAAGCCAAUAGAUUUGAAGGUAUCCAUUGUUGAUAGUUUAGUCUUCCUGCCUUGCGUCUUCAUUAUCAUGACAAGCUAGUGGCAUUUUCUAAGGAAGACUCUAUGCUUUAACAAUAUCUAUUAUCAAGUAGAAUUCUAUAUCUUCUUUUGAAUUUAAACAGAAAGGUUUUUUUUUCCUGGAAAUGUUGAUAUUCAAACUUUAAGUUUUCCCUUAGAUUUAUUCUUAUGUUUCAAAAAAUAUAACCUGGCUUUCCUGCCUUUAAAAGUCUGGAAGAUGGCAGAAAGUAUUUGAAAGGGUUUAAGACGCUCUGUAUAAACCUGAGGAACACAUAAGUUUCCUCCCCAUACAACUUCCUCACUUCCUGCCCAGUCCAUCCCCCACUAGCCCCUCAAUACAGUCAUGCACACAAGCACACACACUCGGUGUAAGAAUCUGCAUACUGGCAGGACUACUCCAUAUUCUUCAUAUAUUCUGGUCUCAAGUGAAACAAAGAUUGGGGGAAUUAUAUUUUCCAGAAUGAGAAUGUCACCUCUUAGAUCUUUAAGAAGAUAAAUAACUCAGAUAAAUAACAUUGCAUCAGAUUGCCAAAAUUUGUUUUCACUCUGUAUACUUGAAUCACCUGAAUGCAAAUUGAUUAUUUGGGAGCUCCUGCUUGAUUCCAGUAUUCCUAUAUAUUACUUCCAUAAGCAUAUGUAAAAAAAGUAUUAGCAGAGCCUACAAAAGCCUGUGUCAACUUCAUUCUGGAGAUUUUUUAACAGCAACUCUUAGCUUCUACUCCGCUUUGUACUCAUGGCAUUGUUUUUCUCUUCCUGAUUUCUCCCCACCCUGAGGACAGGUCUAGUGAGUUGAAGACAGAAAGGCAGCCACUCCAUUGGACAACAUGCAGUUCACUGGUAAUUUUGAUAGGGCUAGUUGGGUAGAGGAGUGAAUUUGGAAACUGAGUGAAAGUGGGUUCAGUAGUGAGUGGGACAUGAGGUUGUGCACUACUCAUUGGAAAAUUUUGUCAAGAAGAGAAAAAGGAUGGUAGGUAGCAGCAAAUGUCAAUUCAAGGUAGGGAUGAAAGUAUAUAAGGCUAGCAGAUCCUUCAACAUUUGUAUUCUGAGAAUGGUCUUAUUGAGUCAGGGGAGUGUUAAAUUCAGCAUAAGGGUUUUUAAAGAAAUCUUUGGGAAGAAUUUGCCUUUGGUAGGAGGGAGGAAUUCCUCGGUAAGGAAGGGAGAAGAAGACAAUCUGGCAGAUGGAAGGACCUUUAUUGAUUUGGUGGUGGGAAGAUGAAGGAAUUCGAAUCUGGUGGUUUCUAGUUUUUCAAUGAAGUGUGAGAUCGAGUUAAAUGAUAUAAGGCAGGGAGGGAAACUUACUUAGGUUUGGGAGAAAGAAGGCAGUAGUAAAUUGUCUUGGGGUCUGGGAAGCAAGUUUAUUAGGGAAUGUUGUGUGGUUGCCAGCAGUUGGACAUUUGAGGUCUGAAGUUAAAUAUUUAAAGUAAAAUUAGUCUGUCUGUUGAAUGAUUUUCUCCAGCUGUAUUCAUGCACAGCUGCUCAGGUCCAGAGAAGGCAAGUAAUUGAGCUGAUCUGUGCUUGGGUUUUGCCAGGAGUGAGAGGGAAGCAAGGCAGAUGAGAUUGUUUGUAAUGAUUAUAAUGAUGGACCUUGGACUCAAAUUUAGACAGAUUCAUCAGAAAGAUUUUAAAAUCUCAGUCAUGCAAGUAUACUUCCAUAUUAAGAACUCAGGCUUAAAAUCCGACCAUCUGGGUUCAAAUUCCAUUUCUACUACUUACCAUGAGACCUUGAGCAAGUUCUCUAAAUGCUCUCUGCCCUAGUUCCUUCAUUUGUAAAUGGAGAUACUAUUGGCACCUAAUUCAUAGAAUUUUUAUUGAGUUAACACAAAGAAAGAGUUCGGAAGAGCACCUGGAACAGGCUGGACACUCAAAUAAUAGGCUAUUAUUGUAAUUAAUGUCAUGCAUCCCGACCUAGUGUGUCAUCUUUGACUAUGCACAGCCAAGAAGAACUAUUUCUCUUUCUGUGAUUAUCUGAACAAUAUGGGUUGUGCUUUUUCUUACAUUUGUAUUUUUAAUUAACUGACUCACCUUUAAUUUUUUUCUCUUGUAUGUCUUUAAAAUUGCAAUUUAAACGAAAUGACACAUGGCAAAACUCACAAAAUCCAGUUUCAAGCAUAAAAUUGAAUAGAUAAGUAACACAUAAAGGUGUUUGGCUAAGCGUCAGUUUUGGGGUAAGCAGGAUGCCUUCUCGUCAUCUUUUAAGGUUUUAUGGAAGAAAUGAGGCCACUCUAAUUAGGACAAAUGGGUUUUAAAAAGUGUCUUCCCCAGAUUAGUCUAUUGCCCGGAAAUCAGUAUCUUAUCAGUCUAUCAAAAUUACAUGUGUUUUGCCGUUAGUUCAUUGUCUCCCAUAUCGGACCAUGUCGUUUCACAGCAUUUUUGUGUUCUUUUCAUUGGUGUACAAUCUCAUUUGUGUUUUACUUUCUGUGGCUCAUCGGAACACGUUAUGAAUAAUAAUGGGUAUAAACAUAUAUCACUUAUUAACCUUACUGGUUUACUGUCUCCUCAAAGUCCAUAAAAUACAGAGAGCACAUGUUAUCGUAGCUGUGACACUUUCAGAGGGAAGGGGUGGGUACUCUUUUAAAAAGUCUACAGGAUAGCAAGUACAAACUAGAACUGACCAGGGCAUUAAAGGAUGAUUUUAAAAACCAGGUAAUGGAGAUCUAAUACACAGCACGGUGAUUACAGACAAUAUUAUUGCUUUAAUAUUCAAGUUUUAAACUUCAAAGUUUCUAGGAAACUGGAUUUUAAAUAUUGUCACCACACAAAAGAAAUGAGAAAUGAUAAUUAUGGAUAGAGGUGUUAGCUAACACAACUGUGGUAAUCCUACUGCAGUGUAUACGUGUAUCAGACCAACAUGUUGUACACCUGAAACUUAUACAGUGUUAUAUCACAGUUAAAAAAAAGAAAAACAACAAUUUAAAUAAAUAAAUAAUGGGUAAAAUCUUGACUCUCAUACAAAUAUGAAAAGAGCAUGUGUCAAAGAUUUCACUUAUCUCACUAAUAAGGGAAUGGGGAGAAGUUAUAACAGGUUCCAAGGGGAAUACUAAGAACUGCAUCCUUAGUCAAACAAGGGAUGCUAAAAUGAGUGUACCAAUAGGUGCGAAGCUGACAAACUGGUCAAUAUCCACAGGACAAUAAUCAGUUGCAUCCCAGUGGACACAAUUUGCAUUUCUAUGGACAAGAGCAUUUGCACUGCUAUCAUUUUCUUCAGUUUGCAGAGUUUAAAAUAGUUCAGGGACAAUUUAAGCUUCAUAGGACACCCACUGAUUUUUUGGCCCCAUCAGAGGCCUUCCCAGUUUUUCCCCACACGAGCAAUCCUGGCAUGGCUCGGCACCCAGGUGACACGUCACACAUUCUCUAGCACGUGCUUCAUGUGAUUUUGGACUUACCUGUUCACUGCUGCUUUGUUAGAUUUGUUUACAGUUUAUCAAGCUGUACGAUGUUAGGUUCUACUCCUCUUUCAGAUUUGAAGUUGGCCAGAAUCGAAACUGUUGUUGUUUUGGAGGCAAAAUAUGCUACUUUCAUUCUGUUUUGGUUGCCUACUCUGGGAGGACUUGGAAGCAUUUGGGCCGGAUAAGCUGAGUGAUCUGCAGCUGUUCAAAUACUUAGAGCCUUUGGGUUGAUUGUGGAUUUUGCUUUAAAACCCUACCCCACUGAAAAAAAAAAAAAAAAAGAAAGAAAAAGAAAA
This is a long non-coding RNA of Acinonyx jubatus (cheetah), 10597 nucleotides long. RefSeq lists it as uncharacterized. NCBI's taxonomy places the organism in Eukaryota, Metazoa, Chordata, Mammalia, Carnivora, Felidae. The transcript has 2 exons. The record is from RefSeq and is a predicted model, not a curated record.